This 560-nucleotide ribosomal RNA is filed under the name uncultured bacterium. Its description in RNAcentral is "bacterial SSU rRNA". It matches the Rfam family "Bacterial small subunit ribosomal RNA", at positions 71 to 614 of the family's 1533-position model. The record is from RNAcentral.
AACUCUUCGGAGGGAAGGCAGUGGAAUGAGCGGCGGACGGGUGAGUAACACGUAAGGAACCUGCCUCAAGGAUUGGGAUAACUCCGAGAAAUCGGAGCUAAUACCGGAUAGUUCAACGGACCGCAUGGUCCGCUGAUGAAAGGCGCUCCGGCGUCACCUUGAGAUGGCCUUGCGGUGCAUUAGCUAGUUGGUGGGGUAACGGCCCACCAAGGCGACGAUGCAUAGCCGACCUGAGAGGGUGAUCGGCCACACUGGGACUGAGACACGGCCCAGACUCCUACGGGAGGCAGCAGUAGGGAAUCUUCCACAAUGGACGAAAGUCUGAUGGAGCAACGCCGCGUGAGUGAUGAAGGUUUUCGGAUCGUAAAACUCUGUUGUAAGGGAAGAACACGUACGAGAGGAAAUGCUCGUACCUUGACGGUACCUUACGAGAAAGCCACGGCUAACUACGUGCCAGCAGCCGCGGUAAUACGUAGGUGGCAAGCGUUGUCCGGAAUUAUUGGGCGUAAAGCGCGCGCAGGCGGCCUUUUAAGUCUGAUGUGAAAGCCCCCGGCUCAACC